AAGUCGUAACAAGGUUUCCGUAGGUGAACCUGCGGAAGGAUCAUUAACACGUAUCCAACGUUAAAAACCCCGUGAACCUUUAUUCGCCGCUCCCACGGCUCAGUCGCGUAAAGCUAGCAAUCCCUGUACUCGUCCGAGAAAUGAAGGAGAAGGGACUUCUGGCAGCGCUUUGUUUUUCCCCAAGCAAUCAGUGGGUGACAGUGUCAUUGAUUGUGUAAGGAUUUCGCUUAGCGAUCACUGGAGGUCGAUCACCGACCGGUGGAUCAAGUCACAGGGCUUCGGCUCCCUCCCCAACCCCACUUCCUAUUGCCGCUCCGCGCUAACAACGCCGGGCAUUUAAAAACGUACUAAACAACUGUUAACAAUGGAUAUCUUGGUUCUC
Molecule: unclassified non-coding RNA, 382 nt
Filed under: fungal sp.
Lineage: Eukaryota; Fungi
Description: partial internal transcribed spacer region
Rfam family: Eukaryotic small subunit ribosomal RNA (bases 1-46)
Source: RNAcentral